AGUCGAACGGCAGCACGGGAGCAAUCCUGGUGGCGAGUGGCGAACGGGUGAGUAAUAUAUCGGAACGUGCCCAGUCGUGGGGGAUAACGCAGCGAAAGCUGUGCUAAUACCGCAUACGAUCUCUGGAUGAAAGCGGGGGACUCGCAAGGGCCUCGCGCGAUUGGAGCGGCCGAUAUCAGAUUAGCUAGUUGGUGGGGUAAAAGCCCACCAAGGCGACGAUCUGUAGCUGGUCUGAGAGGACGACCAGCCACACUGGAACUGAGACACGGUCCAGACUCCUACGGGAGGCAGCAGUGGGGAAUUUUGGACAAUGGGCGCAAGCCUGAUCCAGCAAUGCCGCGUGCAGGAUGAAGGCCUUCGGGUUGUAAACUGCUUUUGUACGGAGCGAAACGGUCUUCUCUAAUAAAGGGGGCUAAUGACGGUACCGUAAGAAUAAGCACCGGCUAACUACGUGCCAGCAGCCGCGGUAAU
RNAcentral lists this ribosomal RNA (471 nucleotides) under uncultured bacterium. Its description in RNAcentral is "bacterial SSU rRNA". It matches the Rfam family "Bacterial small subunit ribosomal RNA", at positions 60 to 524 of the family's 1533-position model. The record is from RNAcentral.